Molecule: long non-coding RNA, 1177 nt
Organism: Neopsephotus bourkii (Bourke's parrot)
Lineage: Eukaryota; Metazoa; Chordata; Aves; Psittaciformes; Psittacidae
Exons: 3
Source: RefSeq, a predicted model, not a curated record
CAAGGUAGUCCAUCCCUCCCAGAAAUGGUGGGAGGUCCCAUAGAUGCCUCUUUUGCAAAAAAAUACAGAAAUCCCAGACCUAAUUCUUUGCAUGUUGGUGAUGCUGAGGACUAUUGCCUUGAAGCCUUGGGCUGAAGCCAAGUCUGAGACAGGCCAGCAGAAAUGCUGAAGUGUGUAAGACACCUGGAGAGCACAGCAGUCGUAGUUGGUACCUGUUUCUGCAAGUCCUGGACACUCCUCAUUCACAGUGGUGGAAAAAUUGAUAUCCAGCUGCUUCAUCAUCUUGUCUGCAGAUGUGUGAUACACUCCCGAAGGGCCAGUACACUUCAUCCAGAAAGCCAGCAAUGAUAGCUUCUUGUGGAACUCUGGAAUUGCUGGAGGAAAAGACAAUAUGAACAAUGAAACAAAACAGUGCUAGAAGCAUCAACUUCCAGAAGAGAAAAGAUGCAGGAUGUGAGAAAAUCUGCUCCUGAUCCAGUUCUGGGCAUUCACGUCUCUUCCUUUUAAAUACCACAAAAUACUAGGGAAAUUCCACAAGCAUUCUACACAAGACUUGUCCCUUCCUAGCACUGCUUUGUGGCCUUGGGUAAGUCACUCAAUCUUGCUUUCAUUUUCUGAUAAACAAAGUAAAUAGACCAUGUUGUAUUUAUGUAUCAUGUCAGAGUGUUCACAAGGGUAACUAUGUGCUUGUCAAAUUCUUCCAGUGCAUUAAAAUAGAUGAAUCAACAGGAAAAAUAACUAAAUAAUUCUUCAUAAAGAUGACAAAAUAAAAUUGAUAAAAUGUUCAAAAAAGUUGUAUUAUGCCUCUCAUAGUUAUAAGGCAGAUCCUGCCUUUCCUUGGGAAAGAGGAAAGCAAGGUGGAGGAAGAAUUUGGCUAUUCAGAGGCGGCAGCAUCCCCACUCCAUUAUAGUGGUGGUGGACCUCUGUGCAUCUUCUGCACAACAGGCAGGAUAAGAAGUUCUUUCUCUUCUCAGUUGUUUGGUUAGAUACCAGAGCUGAAGACAGAAUAAUGUCCCUGACCUGCUGUGGUCAGCAACUGCUACAUCUGCUGGUGAGUCAUGAGUUGGCCCUUACUAUGGUGGCAUCUCUUCCAGUGAUGGUGAGCUCUGCACAGCGCUCAUUUCAGCAGGCAUGCAUGCCCAAACAAACCAUUUUCAGAAGGACACCCCCUAAACUG